CUUCGUCCUUAUACCAGUUGAUGCCAUGAUGCAAUGCUGUGAGGUGCGAAAACUCACCAUCAUAAUUCUUUACAGGACAUUCAAGGCUAACCGUAGUGGCAUUCGUUGGGACAUAAAUCACCGCCUCUUUUUCAUCAAAAUACGGGAUAGGGAUUACUGGUUUGGAUGUGGCUUUUGCCAAAUUACCAGGCGGGUAUUGUGGUUCCUCCUCAUCAUUGUACUCGGCAUACUCAUCAGCAAGGACUAACCAGAAAAAGAACAAAUGUUGAAUUCUACGGAUGUUUACAAACUUGGCACCCAACAGAAGACAAAACAAAUACUGGAGCAUAGAUACCUACAGAAUUGAAGUUGGAAAACAUAUACAUAUUUCUACAUAUACAUGUAGAUCAUAGAGAGUGCCAUAGCAAGGCUUUGUAAUAACCCCAAGUUGAAAUCCCCUUGUCAGAGGAAGAAGAAGAAGUCCAGCAUCUCAUAUCUUUGCCGCCUUAUGAAUUGUAUCGCCGCAUCUGUAUCUGCAUCUGUAAGAUGCAUUCUGUCUACCCCAACGAGUAGGCGUCGGCCAAGCAAGAUGUCUCUCUCUCCCUCUCUCUUUCCUCAUCACCAGCUCACUUGUCUCUGGAAGGAACAAAUCACAGUUUGUCAAUGUAAUCAACUAGCUUCCCAUGCAGAAAAAUAUUGUUUGCAUGGCCUGAGAAACUCGCAUUUUCAUUAAGACAUUUAUGCACAUAUGUAUGUUUACAUACAAAUAUAUACAUAUAAAUAAAAUUCUGCAAAAUACUUCCAUGUAAAAUGAUGACGACGACGAAG
This is a long non-coding RNA of Drosophila willistoni, 807 nucleotides long. RefSeq lists it as uncharacterized. The record is from RefSeq and is a predicted model, not a curated record. NCBI's taxonomy places the organism in Eukaryota, Metazoa, Arthropoda, Insecta, Diptera, Drosophilidae. The transcript is spliced from 4 exons.